UACGUAGGGUGCAAGCGUUAAUUGGAAUUACUGGGCGUAAAGCGUGCGCAGGCGGCUUUGCAAGACAGAUGUGAAAUCCCCGGGCUCAACCUGGGAACUGCAUUUGUGACUGCAAGGCUGGAGUACGGCAGAGGGGGAUGGAAUUCCGCGUGUAGCAGUGAAAUGCGUAGAUAUGCGGAGGAACACCGAUGGCGAAGGCAAUCCCCUGGGCCUGUACUGACGCUCAUGCACGAAAGCGUGGGGAGCAAACAGG
This 253-nucleotide ribosomal RNA is filed under the name uncultured bacterium. RNAcentral describes it as "partial 16S ribosomal RNA". It matches the Rfam family "Bacterial small subunit ribosomal RNA", at positions 524 to 776 of the family's 1533-position model. The record is from RNAcentral.